This 253-nucleotide ribosomal RNA is filed under the name uncultured bacterium. Its description in RNAcentral is "partial 16S ribosomal RNA". It matches the Rfam family "Bacterial small subunit ribosomal RNA", at positions 524 to 776 of the family's 1533-position model. The record is from RNAcentral.
UACGUAGGGGGCUAGCGUUGUCCGGAAUCAUUGGGCGUAAAGAGCGUGUAGGCGGCCCGAUAAGUCCGCUGUGAAAGUCCAGAGCUCAACCCUGGGAUGCCGGUGGAUACUGUCGGGCUCGAGUCCGGAAGAGGAGUGUGGAAUUCCUGGUGUAGCGGUGAAAUGCGCAGAUAUCAGGAGGAACACCAAUGGCGAAGGCAGCACUCUGGGACGUGACUGACGCUGAGACGCGAAAGCGUGGGGAGCAAACAGG